GACGAACGCUGGCGGCGUGCUUAACACAUGCAAGUCGAGCGGUAAGGCCCUUUCGGGGGUACACGAGCGGCGAACGGGUGAGUAACACGUGGGUGACCUGCCUUUAGCUCUGGGAUAAGCCUGGGAAACUGGGUCUAAUACCGGAUAUGACCCUAUGGCGCAUGUUGUGGGGUGGAAAGCCUUGUGCGGCUAGGGAUGGGCCCGCGGCCUAUCAGCUUGUUGGUGGGGUGAUGGCCUACCAAGGCGACGACGGGUAGCCGGCCUGAGAGGGCGACCGGCCACACUGGGACGUGAGACACGG
This 301-nucleotide ribosomal RNA is filed under the name uncultured bacterium. Its description in RNAcentral is "bacterial SSU rRNA". It matches the Rfam family "Bacterial small subunit ribosomal RNA", at positions 28 to 329 of the family's 1533-position model. The record is from RNAcentral.